CCUACGGGGGGCAGCAGUGAGGAAUAUUGGUCAAUGGGCGAGAGCCUGAACCAGCCAAGUCGCGUGAGGGAGUACUGCCCUAUGGGUUGUAAACCUCUUUUGUCGGGGAGCAAAAGCCGGACGUGUCCGGCUGUGAGAGUACCCGAAGAAAAAGCAUCGGCAAACUCCGUCCCAGCAGCCGCGGGAAUACGGGGGAUGCGAGCAUUAACCGGAUUUAUGGGGUUAAAGGGGGGCGCAGGCGGAUUUUUAAGUCAGCAGUAAAAUCGUGGGGCUCAACCCCGUCGAGCCGUUGAAACUGGGGAUCUAGAGUGAGCGAGAGGUAUGCGGAAUGCGUGGUGUAGCGGUGAAAUGCAUAGAUAUCACGCAGAACCCCGAUUGCGAAGGCAGCAUACCGGUGCACAACUGACGCUCAGGCACGAAAGCGUGGGUAUCGAACAGGAUUAGAUACCCUGGUAGUC
This 458-nucleotide ribosomal RNA is filed under the name uncultured bacterium. Its description in RNAcentral is "partial 16S ribosomal RNA". It matches the Rfam family "Bacterial small subunit ribosomal RNA", at positions 338 to 795 of the family's 1533-position model. The record is from RNAcentral.